AUUAGUAUUUAGUAGGCCAUAAAUAUUAGGCCAAAAAUUAAUAUUUAGUAAGUAGUAUAUUUUUCAUGUGUUUUAAAAAAAUGUGAAUUUUUAAGGCCGGCUAUGUGUACUACAUACUAUGUACUUGUCGAACACAAUUUGACGAAUGUGACACCAUCUCAUUGUGGUCAUCACAAACUGCAAACAAAAUAACAUUUUUUUUGGUGCAACAAACAAAAAAAAACAAAAAAACAAAAUAGCUUAGUAUCAAUUAAUAACGCACAAAGAAAAUAUAGAGUACUCGUGCUAAAGAGCUACCACUUGGCCUCGUCUAGUUAAUACUAGCGUUAUAUGAUAUUAUCUCCAGUGUAAAAUUGUUGGAAAUUUUAUCAUUCUUUUCGUUAAUUUAAUAUCCGGUGCAUGCAAAAAGAAAAGGAGCUUUUUGAAUUCGACGUUACAGACUAAAUAAUUAAAUAUUACUAUAGUCUAGUGAAGUGAUGAUGAUGCUUAGUUUUUU
This 496-nucleotide long non-coding RNA is filed under the name Brassica rapa (field mustard). Its description in RNAcentral is "long non-coding RNA (BRAP_LNC003489)". The record is from RNAcentral. Lineage: Eukaryota; Viridiplantae; Streptophyta; Magnoliopsida; Brassicales; Brassicaceae.